This 322-nucleotide ribosomal RNA is filed under the name uncultured eukaryote. RNAcentral's name for it is "partial 18S ribosomal RNA". It matches the Rfam family "Eukaryotic small subunit ribosomal RNA", at positions 1470 to 1796 of the family's 1831-position model. The record is from RNAcentral.
CCCUUAGAUGUUCUGGGCCGCACGCGCGCUACACUGAUGCGUUCAACAAGUUUCCUUGGCCGAGAGGCCUGGGCAAUCUUCUUAAUAUGUAUCGUGAUAGGGAUAGAUUAUUGCAAUUAUUAAUCUUGAACGAGAAAUUCCUAGUAAACGCAGAUCAUCAAUCUGCAUUGAUUACGUCCCUGCCCUUUGUACACACCGCCCGUCGCACCUACCGAUUGGAUGUUCCGGUGAAGCCUCGGGAUGAGGACUGGUGCCUUUAUUGGCAUGAGUUGUUCAGAACUUGUCUAAACCUUAUCAUCUAGAGGAAGGUGAAGUCGUAACA